GCAGGGUUUAGGCCACCAUGUGUUUCUGUUUCUUCUUAACAGAUGUGCUUGAUAGCAGCCUCAGUGUCUCCAGUUUCAAAAGUGGGAUUUCCCCUCUGUUUGUAGCUGAAUUUACAGACAUGAACAAGAACAGAGAAUAUGCUUACAUCCCUAUAUUGCUGUCAGGAACCUGAAGAAAUGACAAUGGGUGAACCCUGGUUCAGAAUACAGUACUUCUGUACACACCCAGAAACUGAUGGAGCAGUAUGGGGAGAUUUAAUCUGAAUGGGCUGGAAGCCAUAAACCUGUGAAAGAGUGUAAUGGCAGAGGCAUUCAAUGCAGGACGUUCCCAGUCUCAAGAAGUUUGGAAGUUAUGACGUUUUCGCAGAAAUUUGGAACAUGAACUUAGAGGCAGCAAGGACAGAAGGAAAUGGAGAAUACAUGAGCCAGUUGAAUACAAUUUCGGUUGAAAAUCUUCCCCUCUCCUUUCUGCAGGUAUUUGGAGCCUGGAUUUGAUGCUUGAAUCAUACCCUGUGGUUCACAGGCAUGGAUUUGUGUGAUAGGGCCAGCAGACACAGCACUAGCGCAGGCCUAUCACCACUGAAGACUAUCACCAACUUUAGGGAUGUACUUGUGGGCUCUUGGGUUGUAUGCCUUUGUGCAUUUGUUUUCAAGCUGCUCUGAGUGCCUGGAGCAGAAAAAAGGUAGCCUAAAAUAUCUAAAUGAGUGUACCCAUAUGUUCCAUUACAUUCUAGGUAGGGGAGCAUGUGAAUGUCCAUGCUUCAUUAAAAUAAAAAUGGUGCCUUUUGAGAUAAAAUUAUUGAAAUACAUUUUUGUGGAAAAAAAGAAACAAC
This is a long non-coding RNA of Eublepharis macularius, 833 nucleotides long. RefSeq lists it as uncharacterized. The record is from RefSeq and is a predicted model, not a curated record. The transcript has 4 exons. NCBI's taxonomy places the organism in Eukaryota, Metazoa, Chordata, Lepidosauria, Squamata, Eublepharidae.